UACGUAGGGACCGAGCGUUGUCCGGAAUCAUUGGGCGUAAAGAGCGUGUAGGCGGCUAUUUAAGUCCUGCGUGAAAUCCUGCGGCUCAACCGCAGACGGUCGUGGGAAACUGGAUGGCUAGAGUGCGGGAGAGGAGAGUGGAAUUCCCGGUGUAGUGGUGGAAUGCGUAGAGAUCGGGAGGAACACCAGUGGCGAAAGCGACCUUCUGGGCUGCACCUGACACUCUAGUGCGAAAGCGUGGGGAGCAAACAGG
Molecule: ribosomal RNA, 253 nt
Filed under: uncultured bacterium
Lineage: Bacteria
Description: partial 16S ribosomal RNA
Rfam family: Bacterial small subunit ribosomal RNA
Source: RNAcentral